UACAGAGGUCCCGAGCGUUGUUCGGAUUCACUGGGCGUAAAGGGUGCGUAGGUGGCGUGGUAAGUUUGAUGUGAAAGCUCAGGGCUUAACCCUGAAAUGGCAUUGAAUACUACUAUGCUGGAGGUUUGGAGGGGGGACUGGAAUUCUUGGUGUAGCAGUGAAAUGCGUAGAUAUCAAGAGGAACACCAGUGGCGAAGGCGAGUCCCUGGACAACACCUGACACUGAGGCACGAAGGCCAGGGGAGCAAACGGG
This 253-nucleotide ribosomal RNA is filed under the name uncultured bacterium. Its description in RNAcentral is "partial 16S ribosomal RNA". It matches the Rfam family "Bacterial small subunit ribosomal RNA", at positions 524 to 776 of the family's 1533-position model. The record is from RNAcentral.